RNAcentral lists this small nuclear RNA (23 nucleotides) under Arabidopsis thaliana (thale cress). Its description in RNAcentral is "snRNA_02183". Lineage: Eukaryota; Viridiplantae; Streptophyta; Magnoliopsida; Brassicales; Brassicaceae. The record is from RNAcentral.
CUUAACGUUAUCGCUUGUUGCAU